RNAcentral lists this ribosomal RNA (482 nucleotides) under uncultured bacterium. RNAcentral's name for it is "partial 16S ribosomal RNA". It matches the Rfam family "Bacterial small subunit ribosomal RNA", at positions 30 to 507 of the family's 1533-position model. The record is from RNAcentral.
UGAACGCUGGCGGCAUGCUUUCCACAUGCACAUCGAACGGCAGCGCGGGCUUCGGCCUGGCGGCGAGUGGCGAACGGGUGAGUAAUGCAUCGGAACGUGCCCAGUAGUGGGGGAUAGCCCGGCGAAAGCCGGAUUAAUACCGCAUACGACCUGAGGGUGAAAGCGGGGGACCGAAAGGCCUCGCGCUAUUGGAGCGGCCGAUGUCGGAUUAGCUAGUUGGUGGGGUAAAGGCUUACCAAGGCGACGAUCCGUAGCUGGUCUGAGAGGACGACCAGCCACACUGGGACUGAGACACGGCCCAGACUCCUACGGGAGGCAGCAGUGGGGAAUUUUGGACAAUGGGGGCAACCCUGAUCCAGCCAUGCCGCGUGCGGGAAGAAGGCCUUCGGGUUGUAAACCGCUUUUGUUCGGGAAGAAAUCCUCUGGGCUAAUACCCCGGGGGGAUGACGGUACCGGAAGAAUAAGCACCGGCUAACUACGUG